This 354-nucleotide long non-coding RNA is filed under the name Rattus norvegicus (Norway rat). RNAcentral describes it as "long non-coding RNA NONRATT010002". The record is from RNAcentral. Lineage: Eukaryota; Metazoa; Chordata; Mammalia; Rodentia; Muridae.
AAGACAACGUGGCUGCUCCUCAAGGGAGAUGCAGACACCAGAACUAACUCUCCGGACUUGGACAGUCAGUCUCUGUCCCUCAGCAGUGGGGCUGAUCAAGAACCUCUCCAAAGGAUGCCAGGGGACAGCCUCUACUCACGUGAGUGGCUCUUCUGAAGCGCACCCGGAGACUGCCAGCGAGGGGCCCCUACUGAGUGGGCCCCCAAAUCUCAGCUUUACUCCCCCUAAAAAAGCUAAAAGCAAGAGACAGCGUGUGGAUGACAAAAUUGGCAGAAAGAUUGCUGUGAAUUUGAAGCUGGCCUGAGCUACCUAGUGAGACUCCGUCUCAAAAAUAAAAUUAAAACAAAACCAAAA